CUACAGAGGGUGCAAGCGUUAUUCGGAAUCACUGGGCGUAAAGAGUACGUAGGCGGUUUGUUAAGUUAGAUGUGAAAGCCCCGGGCUUAACCUGGGAACUGCAUUUAAAACUGGCGAACUAGAGUUGGGUAGAGGGAAGUGGAAUUUCAGGUGUAGCGGUGAAAUGCGUAGAGAUCUGAAGGAACACCAGUGGCGAAGGCGACUUCCUGGACUCAAACUGACGCUGAGGUACGAAAGCGUGGGUAGCAAACGGGAUUAGAUACCCUAGUAGUCC
RNAcentral lists this ribosomal RNA (274 nucleotides) under uncultured bacterium. RNAcentral describes it as "partial 16S ribosomal RNA". It matches the Rfam family "Bacterial small subunit ribosomal RNA", at positions 523 to 796 of the family's 1533-position model. The record is from RNAcentral.